RNAcentral lists this long non-coding RNA (412 nucleotides) under Vigna radiata. RNAcentral's name for it is "long non-coding RNA (VRAD_LNC004690)". The record is from RNAcentral. Lineage: Eukaryota; Viridiplantae; Streptophyta; Magnoliopsida; Fabales; Fabaceae.
AAAUUUCAUUCAAUGCAAAGGUGUGUACAAAAGGAGACCCCUAAGCCUUCUUAUAUAGCCUUUGGAGUGAGCUUGGAAGCUAGAACUAGGAGAUGUGGGACUUUUGAGGGUGUAGUCCGUCCAGCAGCUGCUGCACAUCCUCUAGGGGCUUUUAAGUCCCACAUUGCUCAAAUCUCUCCACUCCAAAGGGUUUAUAAGGCAACUAGUUCUCCUCUAGUUCAAAACAUGAAAACUAGCUAUGCUACUAACUCCUACACGCCUAGAAUGCUCACUUUCUCUUCUCUUCUUUUUANNAUCAAGCCAUGGAUAGUCCCACAUUGCUUGCUCUUAAAGAGAAAGAAGAGUUUAUAAGCAAUUAUUCACAAGAACUAAGAGAAAGAAAUCAAAAGGCAAAUACACACCCAAAGGAAAC